UCAAGUAAUUAAGUGCAUGUGGUGGAUGCCUUGGCAGUCAGAGGCGAUGAAAGACGUGAUAGCCUGCGAAAAGCUCCGGGGAGGCGGCAAAUAUCCUUUGAUCCGGAGAUGUCUGAAUGGGGGAACCCACCUACUUUAAGGUAGGUAUUGCAACAUGAAUACAUAGUGUUGCAAGGCGAACGAGGGGAAGUGAAACAUCUCAGUACCCUUAGGAAAAGAAAUCAAUUGAGAUUCCCUCAGUAGCGGCGAGCGAACGGGGAUCAGCCCAUUAAGUUAUGUGUGUUUUAGUGGAACGCUCUGGGAAGUGCGAACGUAGAGGGUGAUAUUCCCGUACACGAAAGGGCACACAUAAUGAUGACGAGUAGGGCGAGGCACGUGAAACCUUGUCUGAAUAUGGGGGGACCAUCCUCCAAGGCUAAAUACUCCUGACUGACCGAUAGUGAACCAGUACCGUGAGGGAAAGGCGAAAAGAACCCCUGUGAGGGGAGUGAAAUAGAUCCUGAAACCGCAUGCAUACAAGCAGUGGGAGCACCUUCGUGGUGUGACUGCGUACCUUUUGUAUAAUGGGUCAGCGACUUAUAUUCAGUAGCGAGGUUAACCGUAUAGGGGAGCCGUAGAGAAAUCGAGUCUUAAUAGGGCGUUUAGUUGCUGGGUAUAGACCCGAAACCAGGCGAUCUAUCCAUGAGCAGGUUGAAGGUUGGGUAACACUAACUGGAGGACCGAACCCACUGUCGUUGAAAAGCCAGGGGAUGACUUGUGGAUAGGGGUGAAAGGCUAAUCAAGCCUGGUGAUAGCUGGUUCUCCCCGAAAGCUAUUUAGGUAGCGCCUCGGACGAAUACCAUAGGGGGUAGAGCACUGUUUCGGCUAGGGGGUCAUCCCGACUUACCAAACCGAUGCAAACUCCGAAUACCUAUGAGUACUAUCCGGGAGACAGACUGCGGGUGCUAACGUCCGUAGUCAAGAGGAAAACAAUCCAGACCGCCAGCUAAGGCCCCAAAAUCAUAGUUAAGUGGGAAACGAUGUGGGAAGGCAUAGACAGCUAGGAGGUUGGCUUAGAAGCAGCCACCCUUUAAAGAAAGCGUAAUAGCUCACUAGUCGAGUCGGCCUGCGCGGAAGAUGUAACGGGGCUAAAACUAUGUGCCGAAGCUGCGGAUGUAUACUUUGUAUACGUGGUAGGGGAGCGUUCUGUAAGCCGAUGAAGGUGUGUUGAGAAGCAUGCUGGAGGUAUCAGAAGUGCGAAUGCUGACGUGAGUAACGACAAAACGGGUGAAAAACCCGUUCGCCGAAAGACCAAGGGUUCCAGUCCAACGUUAAUCGGGGCUGGGUGAGUCGACCCCUAAGGCGAGGCCGAAAGGCGUAGUCGAUGGGAAAAUGGUUAAUAUUCCAUUACUUCUGUGUAAUGCGAUGAGAGGACGGAGAAGGCUAAAUCAGCCUGGCGUUGGUUGUCCAGGUGAAAGGAUGUAGGCAUGUAUCUUAGGCAAAUCCGGGGUACUCUAUGCUGAGAUCUGAUAGCAAGCUGUACUUGUACAGCGAAGUGGUUGAUGCCAUGCUUCCAGGAAAAGUCUCUAAGCUUCAGUUACACAGGAAUCGUACCCGAAACCGACACAGGUGGUCAGGUCGAGUAGACCAAGGCGCUUGAGAGAACUCUGCUGAAGGAACUAGGCAAAAUGGUACCGUAACUUCGGGAGAAGGUACGCUGUUGUUGGUGAUGGAACUCGCUUCCUGAGCUGACGACAGCCGCAGAAACCAGGCCGCUGCAACUGUUUAUUAAAAACAUAGCACUCUGCAAACACGAAAGUGGACGUAUAGGGUGUGAUGCCUGCCCGGUGCUGGAAGGUUAAUUGAUGGGGUUAGCGUAAGCGAAGCUCUUGAUCGAAGCCCCAGUAAACGGCGGCCGUAACUAUAACGGUCCUAAGGUAGCGAAAUUCCUUGUCGGGUAAGUUCCGACCUGCACGAAUGGCAUAAUGAUGGCGGCGCUGUCUCCAGCAGAGGCUCAGUGAAAUCGAAAUCGCUGUGAAGAUGCAGUGUACCCGCGGCUAGACGGAAAGACCCCGUGAACCUUUACUGCAGCUUGACACUGAACUUUGACCUUACUUGUGUAGGAUAGGUGGGAGGCUUUGAAGCUGGAACGCUAGUUCCAGUGGAGCCGUCCUUGAAAUACCACCCUGGUAAUGUUGAGGUUCUAACUCUGUCCCGUGAUCCGGGACGAGGACCGUGUCUGGUGGGUAGUUUGACUGGGGCGGUCUCCUCCUAAAGAGUAACGGAGGAGUACGAAGGUGCGCUCAGCGUGGUCGGAAAUCACGCGUAGAGUAUAAAGGCAAAAGCGCGCUUAACUGCGAGACCCACAAGUCGAGCAGGUACGAAAGUAGGUCUUAGUGAUCCGGUGGUUCUGUAUGGAAGGGCCAUCGCUCAACGGAUAAAAGGUACUCCGGGGAUAACAGGCUGAUACCGCCCAAGAGUUCAUAUCGACGGCGGUGUUUGGCACCUCGAUGUCGGCUCAUCUCAUCCUGGGGCUGAAGCAGGUCCCAAGGGUAUGGCUGUUCGCCAUUUAAAGAGGUACGCGAGCUGGGUUUAGAACGUCGUGAGACAGUUCGGUCCCUAUCUACCGUGGGCGCUGGAAAUUUGAGAGGAUCUGCUCCUAGUACGAGAGGACCAGAGUGGACGAACCUCUGGUGUACCGGUUGUGACGCCAGUCGCAUCGCCGGGUAGCUAUGUUCGGAAGGGAUAACCGCUGAAAGCAUCUAAGCGGGAAGCCUACCUCAAGAUAAGAUUUCCCUAGGACUUUAUGUCCUCUAAAGAGCCGUUCGAGACUAGGACGUUGAUAGGUUGGAUGUGGAAGCAUAGUGAUAUGUGAAGCUGACCAAUACUAAUUGCUCGUGAGGCUUGACUAU
RNAcentral lists this ribosomal RNA (2891 nucleotides) under synthetic metagenome. RNAcentral describes it as "bacterial LSU rRNA". It matches the Rfam family "Bacterial large subunit ribosomal RNA". The record is from RNAcentral.